AGUGAACGCUGGCGGCGUGCUUAACACAUGCAAGUCGAACGAGAACGGAAUAUAGCUUGCUAUAUUUGUCAGCUAAGUGGCGCACGGGUGAGUAAUGUAUAGAUAACCUGCCCUUAAGAAAGGAAUAACAGUUGGAAACGACUGCUAAUGCCCUAUAUGCCUUUAAUACAUAAGUAUGCAAGGGAAACGCUUUAGUGCUUAAGGAUGGGUCUGUAUGGUAUCAGCUUGUUGGUGGGGUAAUGGCUCACCAAGGCUAUGACGCCUAACUGGUUUGAGAGGAUGAUCAGUCACACUGGAACUGAGACACGGUCCAGACUCCUACGGGAGGCAGCAGUGGGGAAUAUUGCACAAUGGACGAAAGUCUGAUGCAGCAACGCCGCGUGGAGGAUGACACAUUUCGGUGCGUAAACUCCUUUCAUAUAGGAAGAUAAUGACGGUACUAUAUGAAUAAGCACCGGCUAACUCCGUGCCAGCAGCCGCCGUAA
This 485-nucleotide ribosomal RNA is filed under the name uncultured bacterium. RNAcentral's name for it is "partial 16S ribosomal RNA". It matches the Rfam family "Bacterial small subunit ribosomal RNA", at positions 29 to 523 of the family's 1533-position model. The record is from RNAcentral.